RNAcentral lists this small RNA (178 nucleotides) under Planktotalea frisia. Its description in RNAcentral is "caulobacter sRNA CC2171". Lineage: Bacteria; Pseudomonadati; Pseudomonadota; Alphaproteobacteria; Rhodobacterales; Paracoccaceae. The record is from RNAcentral.
AAACAAAUGAGAGGAGGUGAUCCUGUGUCUAAAAAGGUAUUGGAGAAAUGUGUUGGGACAAUUUGCGAGGUGCGCCGCUAGCGGCAACCCCUAGUAGGCCAUGCGCCCGCGAAUUGGUGAAUGCCUAACCGACACACCUCCGAAACUCAGAUUAAGGGCCGUUCCAGUGGGGCGGCCC